CCCGACAUGUCUGCUAAAACCCAAGUGAAAACAUCCACAUUCUUUUGUAAAAAAUUGAUGAGCUGUGUCCGUACCUCUUCUCCCAGGUUGGAGUCGAUCUUCACCAUGUGCCCUUCAUUCCCAUCAUUCAAAGGAUUUGAGAUAAGAUCUUCAAUUGGCUCACCCUGUUCUUCAGUAAGGUCAUCGUGGGUGUCUAAUCCAUCAACCGACAGGGGUCAGACUGACCAUUUCUUUGUAAGGAUAUGUUGUAGCAGUGUCUUGCCAGGACUUGAUCUCCUCUGACCUCUCCGACCCCCUGGCUUGUAGGAAAUUUCAAUUUCAAAUGGUAGGUCGAUACCACAACUCAAAGGGCGUUGAGGUCAGGUCGGCCAAGUAUUGCGUUGUAGGCAGACGGCGCCCUUACUACCAGAAAAUCCACCUGCGCUCUAGAUUGUUUUGGGCACCGACCUGCAACUACGGUCAAAAUUAUUACUCCUUCCACUGACACAGCAUCGCCAGUGAACCC
Molecule: long non-coding RNA, 505 nt
Filed under: Elaeis guineensis (African oil palm)
Lineage: Eukaryota; Viridiplantae; Streptophyta; Magnoliopsida; Arecales; Arecaceae
Description: long non-coding RNA (EGUI_LNC057522)
Source: RNAcentral